Molecule: ribosomal RNA, 389 nt
Filed under: uncultured eukaryote
Lineage: Eukaryota
Description: partial 18S ribosomal RNA
Rfam family: Eukaryotic small subunit ribosomal RNA
Source: RNAcentral
CAAGAGCGUAUAUUAAUACUGCUGCAGUUAAAAGGCUCGUAGUCGAAUUUGUGGCCUCCCGGGCCCAGCGGCUGCCGCGAAAGCGGGGUCGUCUGGCGCCUGUGGGGUCAUUCGCCAGGAAAACGCUUCUGCUCUUGAUUGAGUUGGUCGCGGGAUCCUGGCCGUUUACCUUGAGUAAAUCAAAGCGCUCAAAGCAUGCCGUACACGCAUCGAUGUUUUAGCAUGGAAUAAUGAUAUAGGACUUGUGUUCUAUUUCGUUGGCUGAAGAACAAAAGUAAUGAUUGAUAGGAGCGGUUGGGGGUGCUAGUAUUUAGCGGUCAGCGGUGAAAUGCGAAGACCCGUUAAAGACUAACGUAUGCGAAAGCAUUCACCAAGGACGCUUUCUUUGA